CAGAAAGACCCUAUGAAGCUUUACUGUAACUUGAAAUUGAAAUUGGACUUUAGUCGCGCAGUAUAGGUGGGAGGCGUUGAAAAUAUUCUUGCGGGAAUAUUGGAGCCGUAAGUGAGAUACCACUCUUCUAAUGUUAGAUUUCUAACUUUGAACCAUUAUCUGGUCAAAAGACAGUUUCAGGCGGGCAGUUUGACUGGGGCGGUCGCCUCCCAAAUGGUAACGGAGGCGUACAAAGGUUUCCUCUGAACGGGUAGAAAUCGUAUCUAGAGUAUAAAGGCAUAAGGAAGCUUGACUGUGAGACCUACAAGUCGAACAGGGACGAAAGUCGGUCUUAGUGAUCUGACGGUACUGAGUGGAAAGGCCGUCACUCAACGGAUAAAAGUUACUCUAGGGAUAACAGGCUGA
This 405-nucleotide ribosomal RNA is filed under the name Lithodesmium sp. RNAcentral's name for it is "partial large subunit ribosomal RNA". It matches the Rfam family "Bacterial large subunit ribosomal RNA", at positions 2081 to 2485 of the family's 2925-position model. Lineage: Eukaryota; Bacillariophyta; Thalassiosirophyceae; Lithodesmiales; Lithodesmiaceae. The record is from RNAcentral.